Molecule: non-coding RNA, 65 nt
Organism: Triticum urartu
Lineage: Eukaryota; Viridiplantae; Streptophyta; Magnoliopsida; Poales; Poaceae
Source: Rfam
AGGAGCCAUAUGAGGUGAAAAUCUCAUGUACGGUUCUGUAAAGGGACAGUAAGGACCCAUCCCAA